AUGCGAGGCCUUCCUCCAGACUCCUCCGCACUUUGGUUUGUGGUCAAGACCUUUGACGUGAGGCCGCAGGUGACAGAGGAGGAGCAGGCAGAGUGCGGCAGCGUUACAAUAGGCAAGCUUGCCGGCGCGGUUUGGUUUGAAGGAUUUUUCGCCAAGUCUUCCGACCUAUGGCAGCAGGGGUGGUUUUAUAUCAAUGAGCCACGGGGCUCCAAGUGGGCAGCUACGCCUGCAUUCCGACCCGGCCCUCCAAUUCAGCUUGCUUCAUGGAUCAAUAAGGGACUGGACUGGGGAUCCGUCAAUGAAGUGCAGACUCUGCAAGAUCGCGUCCAAAGCCUUACCGAGAAGGGCAUCGGUCUUGUGAACGUCGUUCAAGUAAUGCUAGUCCGCCAGACCCUGCCAUGUCAGCGGCGGCCUCUCUGUAUGUGGGAGUUUAAUCCCGAAGGACGGCGGACUCUUCAGCACUUCCUCGGCACUACGCACGAGGGAAUGUGGAAAUUAUAUUUUGGGGAACGAGAGCAAUGGCCGGACACCACCGAAGAUGUUGGCCUUGACUGCAAUCAUCCGGACACCACGGACUGGAUAAAGAAAGCGGUGUUGAUCUAG
This 603-nucleotide ribosomal RNA is filed under the name Triticum aestivum (bread wheat). Its description in RNAcentral is "partial small subunit ribosomal RNA". Lineage: Eukaryota; Viridiplantae; Streptophyta; Magnoliopsida; Poales; Poaceae. The record is from RNAcentral.